Molecule: small nucleolar RNA, 129 nt
Organism: Harpia harpyja (harpy eagle)
Lineage: Eukaryota; Metazoa; Chordata; Aves; Accipitriformes; Accipitridae
Product: small nucleolar RNA SNORA5
Exons: 1
Source: RefSeq, a predicted model, not a curated record
CACAGCCUCGUCAAAAUUCGGUGCCCGCCUCUGCCGUGGUGGGGACCGGCCCAGGGCUGCCACGGUGAUCUCUCUGCUCCACGUCCCUGCCGUGGGGACAUCGGGGGAUCAAAUAGGUUACGGACACUC